UGGGGAAUCUUCCACAAUGGGCGAAAGCCUGAUGGAGCAACGCCGCGUGAGUGAAGAAGGAUUUCGGUUCGUAAAACUCUGUUGUAAGGGAAGAACAAGUACAGUAGUAACUGGCUGUACCUUGACGGUACCUUAUUAGAAAGCCACGGCUAACUACGUGCCAGCAGCCGCGGUAAU
Molecule: ribosomal RNA, 177 nt
Filed under: uncultured bacterium
Lineage: Bacteria
Description: partial 16S ribosomal RNA
Rfam family: Bacterial small subunit ribosomal RNA
Source: RNAcentral